GGGCAUAUGGUGUAGCUGGUUAUCACGCCCGCUUAGCAUCUAGCUGAAUUGCGGGCGGUCUCCGGUUCGAGUCCGGAUUUGUCCA
RNAcentral lists this transfer RNA (85 nucleotides) under Leucogyrophana mollusca. RNAcentral describes it as "tRNA-Ala". It matches the Rfam family "tRNA". Rfam says of the family: Transfer RNA (tRNA) molecules are approximately 80 nucleotides in length. Their secondary structure includes four short double-helical elements and three loops (D, anti-codon, and T loops). Lineage: Eukaryota; Fungi; Basidiomycota; Agaricomycetes; Boletales. The record is from RNAcentral.